AUGAAUCAAAUUGGCAGCCCAAAAGAUUAAACAUCGCAGAAGUGAAUGUACACAAGGAAAUGAUUAUGGGACUCGCACGGAAAAAUCUUACAAAGACUCUGGUAGAUAGUUUGACACUCCCCCCACGCUAGCACCAAACUUUUUGGCAUGAAAAAAAAAACCAGAACAUGCGGCAUAUGAUUCAGCACCGGUCAAAUAUAGCAGCCCACUGAACAUAUUUUGACCCAACAAAUUAAUCCGGUAAUACAGUCAACAGAAUCCCAGCAAUCUCAAACAUAGUAGCUUACAUGGCAAGGACUUGAGAAAAGAACAGCCAGAAUAGAUUCAGAAGACCCAGACAACUCGCAACUUAGAAGCACUUCCGGUGGACAAUCGCUGGACCUGACUCAUCAUACUCACCCUUCGAGAUCCACAUCUGUAGCAUAAAAAUCAGAACACAUGGUUAGUACAACAAAUAGGGAGUAUAUUUACUGUAACUACUGCAAUGAUAUUAGGAUGUAUGAUCGCUAUUUAAGCGAAAGAAAGGCGCAAGAUUCACCUGUUGGAAGGUACUAAGGGAGGCAAGAAUCGACCCUCCAAUCCAGACACUGUACUUCCUCUCAGGCGGUGCCACCACCUUGAUCUUCAUGCUGCUUGGGGCAAGGGCAGUGAUCUCCUUGCUCAUACGGUCAGCAAUACCCGGG
Molecule: long non-coding RNA, 683 nt
Filed under: Triticum aestivum (bread wheat)
Lineage: Eukaryota; Viridiplantae; Streptophyta; Magnoliopsida; Poales; Poaceae
Description: long non-coding RNA (TAES_LNC008674)
Source: RNAcentral